This is a non-coding RNA of Aedes albopictus (Asian tiger mosquito), 74 nucleotides long. The record is from Rfam. NCBI's taxonomy places the organism in Eukaryota, Metazoa, Arthropoda, Insecta, Diptera, Culicidae.
UGUUCUGUGGUUUAGUUGGUAAAAGCGCGGAUCUAGCCAAUACGGUGUCGUGGGUUUGAAUCCCACCAGAUUUC